This is a long non-coding RNA of Cyprinus carpio carpio, 1018 nucleotides long. Lineage: Eukaryota; Metazoa; Chordata; Actinopteri; Cypriniformes; Cyprinidae. The record is from Ensembl.
GUCAGCACCACCGCGGGAGGGAAAUGCUAGUUAGCACGGCUUAAUUGAUAAAACAAAUGAGACGACUCCAGGUGUUUUAAAGACAGUUACGUUAUUUGGUCACCAAACGGGCCUUGAUAGAGAGUUGCGUCUACUUUGUGUUGCCAGAUCCAGAUAUUAUAAGUGUCUUUUUGGAGAGCAUACAAUUUAUAGGUUACAGAAUGAAAUAUGCAAACUCUGGUCAUGAAGAAUCCUAUGCUAUUUCAUUCAGUUUGGUAGUUAACCUUUUACAAAAAUCAUGAUAAAAACAUUCAUAAGAGCAAGUUCUUUUUAUCAUCCAUGUAGCAAUACUUUUUAAUGAAAGUUAUUACAGUAAUAAGCAUUGUUGCAUGAAUAAUUAAUUUAUCCACACCUAACAUGUAGUAAAGUUUCAACAAAUUGGGAUAAACUAAAAUAAUGUCUGAUUUAUUAAUGUCUAUCCCCCCAAAACAGACAGCACAGAGAGUGUAAUGAGUUGCAUUUUAGGUGUUAUUAAUUUUUAGGUGUUAACAAACAUCUCCCCAUGCGAUGACAUGGCACCAGGACAGAUUUAUUGUGAAGAUGAAAGCCCACAAGAGUGUGCACGGUUAUCAGACCAGAGGGGAGACUCGUCGUAUAGUCCUUUUACUUGCUCACUUUCCCAGUAAACUAGUAUUUUCCUCCCACAGUGGCACUAGCAGACCAAUAGGGAGACUUGUGAAGACCUAAAAGUCAUACGAAUACGUUAAAUAGGUACAGUGGUGCUGGCUGGCCAGCUGGACCAUCGUGAGGCAGGCGGGAAGAGUCAUCACCAUAAAGAAGACCAUUUUAAAUGUUUUGAGAUGAUAUGUGUUCUCUAAAUAUUGUUGUAUAGUCUUUCUAAUUAAGUACAUUAACUCUUCAAACUUUUACCAUUUAUUUCCCACUGGCAAAAUGUGUUAUCUAUGGUUUUACUUGUAUAUGUAUGUUCAUUCAUGAAAUGUGGUUAAUAUGCUGGUAAUUCUGUGUUGUUAAAGUUCAG